This 240-nucleotide unclassified non-coding RNA is filed under the name soil metagenome. RNAcentral's name for it is "partial contains 5.8S ribosomal RNA, internal transcribed spacer 2, and large subunit ribosomal RNA". The record is from RNAcentral.
AACAUCGCGCACCUGCGGGAACCUGCGGAAGGAUCAUUACUGAGUCUAACAAACUCCCAAACCCCUGUGAACAUACCUACUGUUGCUUCGGCGGGACCGCCCCGGGCGCCUUCGCGGUGCCCCGGAACCAGGCGCCCGCCGGGGACAUCAAACUCUUGAUUGUUAUAGUGGCAUUCUCUGAGUAAAACAUACAAAUAAGUCAAAACUUUCAACAACGGAUCUCAGAUCGGAAGAGCACAC